CAACUCUGGGAUAACUCCGCUUAAGCGGGGUUUAAUACCGGAUAUGAGCCUUGAUCGUAUGAUCGGGGCUGGAAAGUCUUCCGGUUGAAGAUGACUUCUCGGCCUAUCAGCUUGUUGGUGAGGUAAUGGUUCACCAAGGCGACGACGGGUAGCCGGCCUGAGAGGGCGACCGGCCACACUGGGACUGACACACGGCCCAGAUUCCUACGGGAGGCAGCAGUGGGGAAUAUUGGGUAAUGGA
Molecule: ribosomal RNA, 241 nt
Filed under: uncultured Actinomycetes bacterium
Lineage: Bacteria; Bacillati; Actinomycetota; Actinomycetes
Description: uncultured actinobacterium partial 16S ribosomal RNA
Rfam family: Bacterial small subunit ribosomal RNA
Source: RNAcentral